This is a long non-coding RNA of Dreissena polymorpha, 1717 nucleotides long. RefSeq lists it as uncharacterized. The transcript has 2 exons. Lineage: Eukaryota; Metazoa; Mollusca; Bivalvia; Myida; Dreissenidae. The record is from RefSeq and is a predicted model, not a curated record.
CAGACUUCGUCGGCGAACAUGGCUGGCAAAUAUUUGUCAGAGCUUCGAGAACAAGAACGAAAACAACGUUCGUGUGUGCUCUUCGCAUUUCAUAACAGGAAAGAAAUCUAAUUUGUAUGACCAACUAAAUCCUGACUGGGCCCCGACUGUUAACCUUGGUCUAAAGAGAAAGCAGCCUUGUCCUGACAGGUAAGCUCGCCAACGAAAAAGACUACUGUCAGCUUCAGCAUUUGAAAACCGGGAUGUAAACCUGUGUUCAGAGAAUGAAGAACUCCCUGAACCAGCAGUUACUGACACUGGAAUUUCAUGUCAAACAGACAUAGGCUUAGAGCUUAUGACUGCGAUGCAGGAUGAGCUUCAGCAACUUCGAGUUGAAAACAUGGAACUGAAAAGGCAAUUGAAUGGUUACACGACUCGAUAUGAAAUUGAUUACUUUGCAGAUAACAACGAGAAAGUAAAACAUUUCACUGGACUGCCGGAUUUCUUGACCCUGACUAUACUCUUCGAACAUAUUAAAGACUUUCUUCCUUCAAGCUUUGUUAUGGGGAAGUUUAAGAUGUUCAUAUUAACUCUUGUUAAACUUCGACUUAACAUGUCCAAUGUAUUCUUAGCCUACGAGUUCGACACUACCCAGCCGACUGUGUCGAGACUGUUUACAAGUUGUAUAUCAACUUUGUAUAAAAGACUUUCAAGGCUCAUCAGAUGGCCGGAAAAGGAGCCUUUAAAAAAGACUAUGCCAAUGGAAUUUAGAAAGAAUUUUGCAAAAAAAAUGCACAGUCAUCAUUGAUUGUUUUGAAGUUUUUUGCGAAAAACCCAGUGGACUUACUGCACGUGCUGAAACGUGGUCAUCGUACAAGCAUCAUCAUACAGUUAAAUAUUUAAUAGGCAUCACACCUCAAGGAACUGUCUCAUAUCUUUCUAACGGAUGGGGUGGUCGUGUAAGCGACAAGUACAUUACUGAAAACUGUGGGUUUUUAGAUAAAUUGCUGCCAGGGGACCUAGUGCUAGCUGACCGGGGAUUCAAUAUUGCUGAAAGCGUAGGAAUAGUGUCUGCAGAGGUGAAGAUUCCAGCAUUCACAAAAGGAAAAUAUCAACUUUCACCUCUUGACGUGGAAUCUACUAGGAAACUUGCACAUUCAAGAAUCCAUGUUGAGAGGGUGAUCGGAAGUGUCAGACAAAAGUACUCUAUCUUGAAUGGUUCUGUGCCAAUAUCAUUUCUCAUGAACAAAGAUAUUGAAGGAAGGUGUGUAAUGGACAAAGUUGCAACUGUUGCAUGUGGCCUUGUUAAUUUGUGUGAAUCAAUUGUGAACUUUGACUAAAAGCGCAAUAAAUAAUGAACAAAGACUAGCAGUGUAAAAUAAGUGCAUGUUUAUUAUUGUUUGCAAAGAACUGGCAGUAUAAUGGGAUGUUCAUUAUUGUUUGCUUAUGAAAUAAUUACACAAAACCUGGUCAAAUAAAAUUAUAAACUAUGAACAUAAAGCGUACGUAAUUGUUAUGAAUUUUAUACAAACAUUUACUUGUUUAUGUAGUGUUUUAUACAGGAAGGAAAAGGGGCGUGGUGCAAAAUUUCAAAAAAGGGCACUUUUGCGCGCGACAUCCAUAAAAAGGGCACAAAUAUAUCUGUAUAGUGACUUAAUAACAAGCUUUGUUACACACAAACAUUGUAUGUAUAGUUUUGAGAUUUAUUGUUGAAUAAUUAAACCAACAAAAUCCAGAA